This 720-nucleotide ribosomal RNA is filed under the name Triticum aestivum (bread wheat). RNAcentral's name for it is "partial small subunit ribosomal RNA". The record is from RNAcentral. Lineage: Eukaryota; Viridiplantae; Streptophyta; Magnoliopsida; Poales; Poaceae.
AUGCGGGCUUCGUCGGCUGGCUGCGCCGGAUCUCCCGUCCCGCGCCAAUCGCCGCUUGCCACCUGGCAGGUUCCAGGUGGCCCAGGAGGUGCGCGGUACGCCACCCAACCUGUGACGUACAAGCGGCGCGACAGCACGCGGUCCAGGGAGGGCGUGGUACUGGGCGCCGGUCCGACCGGCGUGGAAACCCGAGUGGAUGCGCCAUCAUCACGCGAUGAUGAGCCGCACGCCCGCACUCUAGGAUCCUCUGCGGCUACUCCAGCCGCCCUGCAUCACGCUUCAGCCGUAGAAAAUCCGAUGCUGCUGGGUGGCGCUACUGGAUCAGGAUCCUGCUCGGACUCCGGUGUUGCAAAUGAUUUGAGCGCUGCUGGAUCUUCUGUGGCAACAGAGAUGAUUGCUCAGCAGCCACGUCGCACAGGUCUGCAACAAGGGGUAAUUCAACCUGUCAACUACAAGCAUAUAACCAAGUAUGGUAUGGUUUGUUCCACAGGUGAACCAGAUGAACCUAACACUCUUGAAGCAGCAUUGUGUGAUGAGAGGUGGAAGAAAGCUAUGAAUGAAGAGUACAUGGCAUUGAAGAGAAACAAAACAUGGCACUUGGUUCCCCCACAACAAGGUAAAAAUUUGAUUGAUUGCAAGUGGGUUUUCAGGAUUAAAAGAAAAGCUGAUGGAACCAUUGAUCGUUAUAAGGCUAGGCUGGUAGCAAAAGGUUUUAAAUAG